UUAAGCUAUUUUUUAAAUUUUGUUUUCAGACAACUCAAUCAAAAUGGUUUAUAAAAUACUGCUGGCAGGCCGGGAAGGUAAAAAAAAUAUAUGAAAAUCCUCUUCACCCCGCCAAAAACACCCACCAAGCAACAAACAGUUUACAAGUUCACAGGAUUUGGAUUAUUGGGUAGACAAAAACCCGGUCGCGCUUGCGCACGUCCAGACAUCAUACCCAUAAAUUCAUUAAUGAUCCUUCCGCAGGUUCACCUACGGAAA
Molecule: unclassified non-coding RNA, 258 nt
Filed under: uncultured fungus
Lineage: Eukaryota; Fungi
Description: sequence contains ITS1
Source: RNAcentral